RNAcentral lists this ribosomal RNA (253 nucleotides) under uncultured bacterium. Its description in RNAcentral is "partial 16S ribosomal RNA". It matches the Rfam family "Bacterial small subunit ribosomal RNA", at positions 524 to 776 of the family's 1533-position model. The record is from RNAcentral.
CACGUAGGGCGCAAGCGUUGUCCGGAAUUAUUGGGCGUAAAGAGCUCGUAGGCGGACUGUCACGUCUGCUGUGAAAAGCUGGGGCUUAACCCUGGCCUUGCAGUGGAUACGGGCAGACUAGAGUGUGGUAGGGGAGACUGGAAUUCCUGGUGUAGCGGUGGAAUGCGCAGAUAUCAGGAGGAACACCGAUGGCGAAAGCAGGUAUCUGGGCCACAACUGACGCUGAGCUGCGAAAGCUAGGGGAGCAAACAGG